AGCUGUUCUUACUACGUACUGAAUAAAGCGAGGAUUUUCAGAAUUAUUUCGUGCUCAAAAUCUUUUUCAAUGUUUGUUAUCCUGUAAGUUAGGAGUAACCGUGCCGACACACCGCGUGCCCUUUUUAUGACAUGCCCGGCAAACAAUGCGAGGGUUGGUGUGGUACCUCUCGCUCUAAUUUCUCUAGUCUAGUCUAGUUGUCUCGCUUCCUCCUAUAGCGAUUCUGUCGAGCUGAGCUUUCACGUCCCUCACCACCGAUCUCCUUCCUACCCCUCGCCUAAGAUCGUCUGACGUCUCGCCUGACACCUUUCGUUGUGUUGGUGCUAUGCGGCUGCUGUCACUGAAGAAGUCAAGUUGUGUGUGUAAAAGAACGUAAACAGUGUUGUUGGCUGAUCAAUUUUGGUAAGUUUUUAAUAAUUAAGUUCUUAAUUUUACGUAAGUAAGUGCCAUUUUAGCAAAAGUUAGUGGUAGAAGUCCUGCCCAAUGCGUGCUGGCUCCGUCGGAAGCGGUACGUGCAUGUAUCGGCAUAGAAAAGUGGUGUGGUGGACAACACAGCACAAGACAGUGGAUAUAAUGCAGAAAUGAUAUGGGCCUGCCGCAGGUGUUUGCGACUGUGCGCUGUGUAUGAUUGUGUAUGAUUCGCCAAUUUUCCUCUAUCCUGGAACGUGGGCUUACGAGGAACCAUUUAAGAACAUCCUCCGGAAGCUGUACGGCGACGAGUCGGGCUCUACCAGCACAACACGCUAGAGGCCCAGCCGGCACCGGGUGCCCCGAUUGCGCCGCCAGACGGUGUCGAGCGCGCUCGUUCAAAACGUUCGGGGCAGGAAUUCAACCCUUCGGAUCAUUAUCCUUUGCCUCACAAUAGCUGCAGCAGCAACCGGACCGAACCGACCGCACUACUGAUUGCGGUCAAAU
Molecule: long non-coding RNA, 915 nt
Organism: Anopheles coluzzii
Lineage: Eukaryota; Metazoa; Arthropoda; Insecta; Diptera; Culicidae
Exons: 3
Source: RefSeq, a predicted model, not a curated record